Nanorana parkeri is the source of this 137-nucleotide long non-coding RNA. RefSeq lists it as uncharacterized. The transcript is spliced from 2 exons. The record is from RefSeq and is a predicted model, not a curated record. Lineage: Eukaryota; Metazoa; Chordata; Amphibia; Anura; Dicroglossidae.
CAGAGUUACAUCCAUGGAAGCAGCCAAGCCCAGUUUGUGGCCGAAACUCACAUUGUCCUGUUGUUUAAUGGCGGAGUGACGCUCGGGAUGGUUCUUCUACACGAAGCCGCCAACUCGGAUAUGGAUGUCGGAAAACG